RNAcentral lists this ribosomal RNA (455 nucleotides) under uncultured Simplicispira sp. RNAcentral describes it as "bacterial SSU rRNA". It matches the Rfam family "Bacterial small subunit ribosomal RNA", at positions 927 to 1382 of the family's 1533-position model. Lineage: Bacteria; Pseudomonadati; Pseudomonadota; Betaproteobacteria; Burkholderiales; Comamonadaceae. The record is from RNAcentral.
AAGCGGUGGAUGAUGUGGUUUAAUUCGAUGCAACGCGAAAAACCUUACCCACCUUUGACAUGUACGGAAGAUCGCAGAGACGCGAUUGUGCUCGAAAGAGAACCGUAACACAGGUGCUGCAUGGCUGUCGUCAGCUCGUGUCGUGAGAUGUUGGGUUAAGUCCCGCAACGAGCGCAACCCUUGCCAUUAGUUGCUACAUUCAGUUGGGCACUCUAAUGGGACUGCCGGUGACAAACCGGAGGAAGGUGGGGAUGACGUCAAGUCCUCAUGGCCCUUAUAGGUGGGGCUACACACGUCAUACAAUGGCUGGUACAAAGGGUUGCCAACCCGCGAGGGGGAGCUAAUCCCAUAAAGCCAGUCGUAGUCCGGAUCGUAGUCCGCAACUCGACUACGUGAAGUCGGAAUCGCUAGUAAUCGUGGAUCAGAAUGUCACGGUGAAUACGUUCCCGGGUCUU